AUACGGAAGGUCCGGGCGUUAUCCGGAUUUAUUGGGUUUAAAGGGAGCGCAGGCGGAGAUGCAAGCGUGACGUCAAAUUUCGGGGCUCAACCCCGUCUCGCGUCGCGAACUGCGUCCCUUGGUUGCGGGAAGGGCAGGCGGAACUCGGGGUGUAGCGGUGAAAUGCAUAGAUAUCACGAAGAACUCCGAUCGCGAAGGCAGCCUUCCGGCCCGUCAACGACGCUCAUGCUCGAAGGUGCGGGUAUCAAACAGGAUUAGAUACCCUGGUAGUCCGCACAGUAAACGAUGGACACCCGCGGUUUGGCCUAUAUGGCUGAGCCGCCAAGCGAAAGCGUUAAGUGUCCCACCUGGGGAGUACGCCGGCAACGGUGAAACUCAAAUGAAUUGACGGGG
Molecule: ribosomal RNA, 393 nt
Filed under: uncultured bacterium
Lineage: Bacteria
Description: partial 16S ribosomal RNA
Rfam family: Bacterial small subunit ribosomal RNA
Source: RNAcentral